Molecule: transfer RNA, 74 nt
Filed under: Corchorus olitorius
Lineage: Eukaryota; Viridiplantae; Streptophyta; Magnoliopsida; Malvales; Malvaceae
Rfam family: tRNA
About the family: Transfer RNA (tRNA) molecules are approximately 80 nucleotides in length. Their secondary structure includes four short double-helical elements and three loops (D, anti-codon, and T loops). Further hydrogen bonds mediate the characteristic L-shaped molecular structure. tRNAs have two regions of fundamental functional importance: the anti-codon, which is responsible for specific mRNA codon recognition, and the 3' end, to which the tRNAs corresponding amino acid is attached (by aminoacyl-tRNA synthetases). tRNAs cope with the degeneracy of the genetic code in two manners: having more than one tRNA (with a specific anti-codon) for a particular amino acid; and 'wobble' base-pairing, i.e. permitting non-standard base-pairing at the 3rd anti-codon position.
Source: Rfam by way of RNAcentral
GCAUCGUUAGCUCAGUUGGAUAGAGCAACCGCCUUCUAAGCGGUAGGUCAUAGGUUCGAAUCCUAUACAACGUG